RNAcentral lists this ribosomal RNA (440 nucleotides) under uncultured bacterium. RNAcentral's name for it is "partial 16S ribosomal RNA". It matches the Rfam family "Bacterial small subunit ribosomal RNA", at positions 338 to 795 of the family's 1533-position model. The record is from RNAcentral.
CCUACGGGUGGCAGCAGUGGGGAAUAUUGCACAAUGGGGGAAACCCUGAUGCAGCGACGCCGCGUGAGUGAAGAAGGAUCUCGGUACGUAAAGCCCUAUCAGCAGGGAAGAGAAUGACGGUACCUGACCAAGAAGCCCCGGCUAACUACGUGCCAGCAGCCGCGGUAAUACGGAGGGGGCAAGCGUUAACCGGAUUUACUGGGUGUAAAGGGAGCGUAGACGGCAGCACAAGUCAGGAGUGAAAUCCCGUGGCUUACCCCCGGAACUGCUUUGGAAACUGUUCGGCUGGAGUGCAGGAGGGGUCAGUGGAAUUCCUAGUGUAGCGGUGAACUGCGUAGAUAUUAGGAGGAACACCGGUGGCGAAGGCGGCUUACUGGACUGUACCUGACGUUGAGGCUCGAAAGCGUGGGGAGCAAACAGGAUUAGAUACCCGGGUAGUC